UGGGAACAGCCAGGAUCCCCUCCGCACGGGAGAACAGCUCUAGACGCGCAGAGGGGCGGAGUCCAAACGGGUGCCAUCACCGACCUGUCUACAAGCAACAUUGUAACAUAUUUCUGAGCCCAUCACAUGGAUAAUGUGACCCUUCUCUUUUUGUCCUGCCCCAAGUGAAGAUUGUGACAUGUCACCAGGCCCUUUGUCUAGGCAAUAUGACUCUUCUCUCCUGUCUGGGCCCUGAUUACAAGGGGGAUUGUGACAAUCACUGGGCCCAUCAUGUAGAUAAUAAGAGUUUCUCUUCCUGCCUGGGCCUUUUCUACAGAAAAGAUUAAGACAUCACUGGGCCAAGCACCCACAUGAUGUCACUCGCCUGCCUGCAUUCUGCCUACAGUGGGUAUUGUGACAUAUCCCUGGCACAGAACCAAGGUAACGUGACUCACCUACCUGGUUCCUGCCCACUGAUGGGAUUGUGACAUAUACCUAGGUCCAGCUCACAGGCAUGAUGAUAACUGUCAUACGUGGACCCAGCCAAUAAGAGAUUUUUGCUCUUAGGCUUAUUACAACAGAGUCUCGCUCUGUCACUCAGGCUGGAGUGCAGUGGCAUGAUCUCAGCCCGCUGCAACCUUCGCCUUCCAGGUUCAAGCAGUUCUCCUGCCUCAGCUCUUGGACAAAACUUCAGCACUCCUGCUAGGGUGUGUCUGCCCUACUAAGACACUGUGCGCAGGUGGAGUUGAGGCUCUUAUGUAUGGAUCCUGUCCACUGUUGAGAUUGUGAAUUGCAUGUGUAGACUCAACUCACAGGAGGUGUUGACUCACAAACCUCCAGCUGGGACAUGUGCAGGAUUAGAAAUUUUAUUUCUGGAUCUUUCUUCAGAAGGCGUUGUAACAUCUCACUAAGCCCAGCACUCAGGCGAUGUGGCUUUCCUGCUAUGGCACUGCACACAAGAAGAAUGUUGACAUAUUCCUGGCCCAGAAUUCAGGUGGUUUGGUGACUCUCAAACCAUGAUUCAGCAGACCUGUGAGGCUGUGAGUUCCCUAUCAGAACACAAUCUGCAGGUUGUAUUGUGCCAUAUACCUGGGACCAAAUUACAAGCACAAUGAUGAAUCUUUUACCUGGAGUCAAGACAUGGGCAGGAUGAUGGAACUUAUCACUGGACCUUUCCACAGUGUUAUUGUGACAUAUGCCUUUGCCCAACAUGUGGUGAUUUGACUCCCCAGACUGGGUCCAGUUCACAAAUAAAAUUGUGCCGUAUACUUGGCCAAGAACCUAA
RNAcentral lists this long non-coding RNA (1264 nucleotides) under Homo sapiens (human). RNAcentral's name for it is "HSALNT0341208". The record is from RNAcentral. Lineage: Eukaryota; Metazoa; Chordata; Mammalia; Primates; Hominidae.